This 567-nucleotide ribosomal RNA is filed under the name Triticum aestivum (bread wheat). Its description in RNAcentral is "partial small subunit ribosomal RNA". Lineage: Eukaryota; Viridiplantae; Streptophyta; Magnoliopsida; Poales; Poaceae. The record is from RNAcentral.
AUGGAAAUAGCGAAAUACUAUGCUCAGCUACCUUACGAAUUAUCCGGGCCAAAUGUCAGUUUUGCCCUCGGACCUCCAGCGCCCCCUAUAAGAACACACACACUGACUAGCAGAGUCACCAAUCACCAACAGCAGUCCCCUUCCUUCCUUCUCCUAUUGAUCCUUAAGAAGCAUCGUUCGUUGGUCCCGAAGAAAGAGAUGGAGGUGAAGAAGAGAGCGGCAGCCAUUGCCGCCCUGUGCAUCAUGCUCCUCCUCGUGCUGCCGUCCGGGCAGCGGCAGCAGGUGUCCGCCGUGUCCGACUUCUGCAAGUGCUUCAACGACUGCUACCCUGGGUGCAGGAGCCCCGGCGUGCCGCGCUGGCUCUGCAUCCCGUUCUGCGCCAACAAGUGCAGCCCCAACACCAACCAGGCCGGCAACGGUGUCGGCUCUGCGGCUGCCACAUGCAGGAUGGCCUGCAAGAUACACAUCUGCGACUAUUCAGAGGCGCCAGCCGAUGCAGCUGACGCCGACCUCUGCAUGCAGAACUGCAACAAGAUGAAGAUAUGGAGCCACAAGGCCCAUAAUUAG